CAAAACAAAUUAAGUAUCGGAGUCUUGAAAGUUGAAUUCAUAUUAUUGUAACUGUACAUAAGAGUUUGUGAUUACAUACUUAGUGAUUCUUGUAUAUGUGUCCAAGAAAGUUUAAAUGACUUAGUGGUAACUGCCAUAUAUUUAUGUCAUACUAACCUGGGUUCGAUCCUUUCCUUGGCAUUGUUUUUUCAUUUUUUACGAGAAAAUAAAUGAGAUGACGUGGCAACUUCAAGCUUUCUGAUUGAUUGAUUUUUCUAUCCUACGUGGACAGCCUAUCUGAGGCUUAUAUUCCCCUUCUAGUAUAUUUACACAUCUUAUAUGUAUAUUUCGUAUGUGGCGUAUUUUAGAUCAGAAAAGGAAUAACCAGUAUCUUGGGACAUCUUUCCUUUGUAUUGACAUCAAGGGAAACGCUUAUGAAGGGAAGCUAGAUAAAACACUUCCAGAUACAACAACUCAGAUCGUGCAAGAGGGCGAGAUAUACCAAAUUCAAUAUUUCUCCCUCUUACCCAACGCCCAACGAUACAAUCUCACCACUCAGCAAUACAUUAUCCUCAUCACCAGGUCAACAUCGAUAGAAAUGGUAGAAGAUGAAAUCCCGAUGAUGCCUCACAACACAUUCCCUACUAUUCGAUACAGGCGAUUGAUCAGCAUCGCCAUUACUUCCAAUUAGUUGCCAGAUGUGGUUGGGCAAGUAAAAUUGAUUCAAGGAACCGAUCUCCAAAAUCCGAGGCUAGCGUCAAAGAUUGUAGUUGGUCUACUUCUGAACAGUUUCAGAACCGUCCGCUUGGUAAUAUCAGACAAUGCUUCUUCUCUGUUUAGAGACAUGUAUAUCAAGUCAGUAAUUAAAUACAGAGUUAUACUAAUCACAAGCGUCAAUCCCAGAUUGAUAAAAGGGAAAUUGACUCUCACCACGACCACUGCUACUCGCUUUUACCAUGACAGCUCUAUCGAUCCCAUCCAGCAAUUCAUCCGGAAAUAUGAAGUUGGCAAUCACUCUUGAAUUGAUCAUAUAGGCUGUCUUCUGAUUCUAAGAGUUUAAGUAUGUGUGUUUUUAUCCUAUGAGAUAGGUUUUGUUUAGAUUGGUUGCACUUUGGAAGACUUGGAUAAUAAAAAUUGGGAGGUUGAAUU
Molecule: long non-coding RNA, 1128 nt
Organism: Brassica napus (rape)
Lineage: Eukaryota; Viridiplantae; Streptophyta; Magnoliopsida; Brassicales; Brassicaceae
Exons: 5
Source: RefSeq, a predicted model, not a curated record